Molecule: long non-coding RNA, 310 nt
Filed under: Salvia miltiorrhiza (redroot sage)
Lineage: Eukaryota; Viridiplantae; Streptophyta; Magnoliopsida; Lamiales; Lamiaceae
Description: long non-coding RNA (SMIL_LNC010170)
Source: RNAcentral
UCAUUUGUAAAACAAAAUAGUAUAAGUGUCAUUUCAAGAUCGUGUUGGUGUCAGUGCCAUUUCGUGUUAGUAUUAGUGUCAUUUCAAAAAAAAAAAAAUGGAUCAGGAUAGUCUAACUGGGUUAGGAUCCGGGGCGGGUACAACCCGGGUGUACGAUACACCCGGGUGUACAGAAGACCACCUCAUAAUAUUCAAUUAAAAUUCUUAAUUAACCUAUCAGACCUUUUUCUCCUCCACCUAAUUUUUCAAUUGUUCGUUCCCAAUACUCGUCCCAUCCCUAUUCAUCUCUCUACUUCUCUCUCAUCCCUCG